UAACGGCUGGAAACGGUCGCUAAUACCAAAUACGCUCCGAUUUCAAACUUCGGGGGAAAGGUGGCCGUCUGCUUGCAAGCUACUGCUCGAUGGGAUGAGUCCGCGUCCCAUUAGCUAGUUGGUGGGGUAACGGCCCACCAAGGCGACGAUGGGUAGCCGGUCUGAGAGGAUGACCGGCCACACUGGGACUGGAACACGGCCCAGACUCCUACGGGAGGCAGGCAGUGGGGAAUAUUGCGCAAUGGGCGAAAGCCUGACGCAGCGACGCCGCGUGAGGGAUGAAGGUCCUCGGAUCGUAAACCUCUGUCAGGAGGGAAGAACCGCCACGGUGCUAAUCAGCCGCGGUCUGACGGUACCUCCAAAGGAAGCACCGGCUAACUCCGUGCCAGCCGCUGC
Molecule: ribosomal RNA, 396 nt
Filed under: uncultured bacterium
Lineage: Bacteria
Description: bacterial SSU rRNA
Rfam family: Bacterial small subunit ribosomal RNA
Source: RNAcentral